RNAcentral lists this ribosomal RNA (424 nucleotides) under uncultured bacterium. RNAcentral's name for it is "bacterial SSU rRNA". It matches the Rfam family "Bacterial small subunit ribosomal RNA", at positions 355 to 796 of the family's 1533-position model. The record is from RNAcentral.
UGGGGAAUUUUGCGCAAUGGGGGAAACCCUGACGCAGCAACGCCGCGUGGAGGAUGAAAUCCCUUGGGAUGUAAACUCCUUUCGAUCGGGAAGAUAAUGACGGUACCGAGAGAAGAAGCCCCGGCUAACUUCGUGCCAGCAGCCGCGGUAAUACGAGGGGGGCAAGCGUUGUUCGGAAUUAUUGGGCGUAAAGGGUGCGUAGGCGGUUUGAUAAGUUUGAUGUGAAAUCUCUGGGCUCAACCCAGAGUCUGCAUCGAAAACUGUCGGGCUUGAGUAUGGGAGAGGUGAGUGGAAUUUCCGGUGUAGCGGUGAAAUGCGUAGAUAUCGGAAGGAACACCUGUGGCGAAAGCGGCUCACUGGACCAUUACUGACGCUGAUGCACGAAAGCUAGGGGAGCAAACAGGAUUAGAUACCCCCGUAGUCC